UGCCAGACUCCUACGGGAGGCAGCAGUGGGGAAUAUUGCACAAUGGGGGAAACCCUGAUGCAGCAACGCCGCGUGAGUGAGGAAGUAUUUCGGUAUGUAAAGCUCUAUCAGCAGGGAAUAGAAAAGAAGGUACCUGAAAAAGAAGCCCCGGCUAACUACGUGCCAGCAGCCGCGGUAAUACGUAGGGGGCAAGCGUUAUCCGGAUUUACUGGGUGUAAAGGGAGCGUAGACGGAAAGGCAAGUCAGAAGUGAAAUCCCAAGGCUCAACCAUGGGACUGCUUUUGAAACUGUCAAACUAGAGUACGGGAGAGGUAAGAGGAAUUCCUAGUGUAGCGGUGAAAUGCGUAGAUAUCAGGAGGAACACCGGCGGCGAAGGCGG
RNAcentral lists this ribosomal RNA (379 nucleotides) under uncultured bacterium. Its description in RNAcentral is "partial 16S ribosomal RNA". It matches the Rfam family "Bacterial small subunit ribosomal RNA", at positions 329 to 724 of the family's 1533-position model. The record is from RNAcentral.